UGAAACUAAACCCUUUUUAAUGAAAUUUACAACUGACACAUAAGGGAUAAUGUGAGAAGAGAGACAAGAGGAUGUGUAUUGAAGAUGAAAAUUACAAGGAUGAUGAGUAAAGUUGGAAGAAUUGCUUUUGAGAAGUUUUUCAACAAUGAAUAUGAUUCUUUGCUUUCGAAGAUAAAGUGUUGGUUAAAAUUAUACAUUUUAUUGUAGAAUUUGAGAGUAAGAUGUGA
This 227-nucleotide long non-coding RNA is filed under the name Lupinus angustifolius (narrow-leaved blue lupine). Its description in RNAcentral is "long non-coding RNA (LANG_LNC002047)". The record is from RNAcentral. Lineage: Eukaryota; Viridiplantae; Streptophyta; Magnoliopsida; Fabales; Fabaceae.